UCCUACGGGGCGCAGCAGUUAGGAAUAUUGGGCAAUGGAGGAAACUCUGACCCAGCAACGCCGCGUGAAGGAAGAAGGUUUUCGGAUUGUAAACUUCUGAUCUGUGGGACGAAGAAAGUGACGGUACCACAGGAGAAAGCCACGGCUAACUACGUGCCAGCAGCCGCGGUAAUACGUAGGUGGCGAGCGUUGUCCGGAAUAACUGGGCGUAAAGGGAGCGUAGGUGGUUGAUUAAGUUAAAUGUGAAAGCCCAGGGCUCAACUCUGGAACUGCAUUUAAUACUGGUCGGCUAGAGUACAGGAGGG
RNAcentral lists this ribosomal RNA (305 nucleotides) under uncultured bacterium. RNAcentral's name for it is "bacterial SSU rRNA". It matches the Rfam family "Bacterial small subunit ribosomal RNA", at positions 337 to 656 of the family's 1533-position model. The record is from RNAcentral.